AUACGUAGGUGGCGAGCGUUAUCCGGAAUUAUUGGGCGUAAAGGGUGCGUAGGCGGCACAUUAAGUCUAAGGUUAAAGUUCGAGGCUCAACUUCGGAUUGCCUUAGAAACUGGUGAGCUAGAGUGCAGGAGAGGGCAAUGGAAUUCCAUGUGUAGCGGUAAAAUGCGUAGAUAUAUGGAGGAACACCAGUGGCGAAGGCGGUUGCCUGGCCUGUAACUGACGCUGAGGCACGAAAGCGUGGGGAGCAAAUAGGAUUAGAUACCCUAGUAGUCCACGCUGUAAACGAUGAUUACUAAGUGUUGGAGAAAUUCAGUGCUGCAGUUAACGCAAUAAGUAAUCCGCCUGGGGAGUAUGCACGCAAGUGUGAAACUUAAAGGAAUGGACGGGG
Molecule: ribosomal RNA, 388 nt
Filed under: uncultured bacterium
Lineage: Bacteria
Description: partial 16S ribosomal RNA
Rfam family: Bacterial small subunit ribosomal RNA
Source: RNAcentral